AGGACUUUAUUAGAGUGCAAUCAGCUUACGCUACUCUCUCCGAUCCAGAGAAACGUGCCAAAUAUGAUCGGACCCUAUUUGGGAAUAUAUUUGGACGAUCUGUUGGAGUGUCGUCGGCGGGAACUCGUAGCCAUUACACUACUUGCCGGAAUUGGGAAACCGAUCAAUGUUGGUAGCUUUUUUGCUUCGAACGGUUCAUUGUGGAUUUUAGCACUCCUUCCAAACUCACAAGCUCGAUCAAUUUCGUCUCCUGAUUUGGUUUUGGUUAAAAUCACCGUGUACCAUUGUUAGUAAACUGUCUUUGUAAAAUAAUUCUGGAAAUAUAAGUGAACAUAAACAGAAAUGAACAUAAACAAGAAUGAACUACGAAAUAACAAUAAGAGAUCCUCAUGCCAUGACAUGGUGUUCUCGGGCUAUGAAAACGGUGCCUCCAAACGAUGACGUCUUUGGAUGAGUUGGUGAUAUUUCAGCCCAUGAAGGAUGCAGUAGUAUGGACAAGACAGAGCUUAGUCUUGCGAAUUGAAGGGCAGAGCUUAGCCCGUACGAGAAGCGAGAUAAAUAGUGUUUGGGAUAGUGCUUAGUUUCGAAGAAAAUGAGAGGCAGAGCUUAGCCUCGGAAGGCAGAAUGAUAGCCUUAUGCAAUGCAGAUGCAAAUGGAGGUAGAGCUUAACCUCGGAAGACAGAAUGAUAGCCUUAUGCAAUGCAGAUGGACGUAGAGCUUAACUUCGGAAGGUAGAAUGGUAGUCUUAUGCAAGUUGGAAGGCAGAAAGGCAGCCUUAUGCAAUGCAGAUGCAGAUGGAGACAUCGUUUAGUCUCGGAAGGCAGAAUGACAGCCUUAUAAACGUAAUCUUCCUAUUGGAUUAUGCUUAUGCGACGUGCCACAAUAUUGACUUUGUAAUUGUACACGUUAGAACUCAGGAAAUUAUUGGAUUUGAUUCGAUAUAAUAUUGGAUAAGAAAGUGACUACUUGAACAUAAAUAGGGUUUUCCAUCUAUUAUAUGUGGAACAUAUUGGUCUAUAUCUUGUGACAUGAAUUUGAAAAGUUAGGUAUUCAGUUCGAAACAGAUGAAUGUCUAUUUGAAAUUUGAGCCUAAUUUUCAACUUGAGGCAAAAAAUAAACAAGUGUGCAUACAUCAAUGUAAACGUAAUCUUCCCAUUGGAUUAUGCUUAUGCGACGCGCCACAAUAUUGAUUUUGUAAUUGUACACGUUAGAACUCGGGAAAUUAUUGAAUUUGAUUCGAUAUAAUAUCUGAUAAUAAAGUGACUACUUGAACAUAAACAGGGUUUUCCAUCAAUUAUAUGUGAAACAUAUAGGUCUAUAUCCUGUGGCAUGAAUUUGAGAAGUUAGGCAUUCAGUUUGAAACAGAUGAAUGGCUAUAAGAAAUUUGAGCCUAAUUUUCAACUUGAGGCAGAAAAUAAAUAAACGUGCAUACCGUCAAUGUAAAACGUAAUCUUCCUAUUGAUAAGCAAGGGCGAACUGGAUUAUGCUUAUGCGACGUGCUACAAUACUGAUUUUGUAAUCGUACACGUUAGAACUCAGGAAAUUAUUGAAUUUGAUUCGAUAUAAUAUUGGACAAGAAAGUGACUACUUGAACAUAAAUGGGGUUUUUCAUCAAUUAUAUGUGGAACAUAUAGGUCUAUAUCUUGUGAUAUGAAUUUGAGAAGUUAGGCUUUCAGUUAGAGACAUAUGAGUGGCUAUUAGAAACCUGAGCCUAAUUUUCAACAUGAGUUAAAAUAUAAAUAAGCGUGCAUACCAUCAAUGUAAACGUAAUCUUCUUAUUGAUAAGCAAGAGCAAAUUGGAUUAUGCUUAUGCUACGUGCCACAAUAUUGAUUUUGUAAUUGUACAUGUUAGAACUCAGAAAAUUAUUGAAUUUGAUUCGAUAUAAUAUUGG
This 1892-nucleotide long non-coding RNA is filed under the name Nicotiana tabacum (common tobacco). RNAcentral's name for it is "long non-coding RNA (NTAB_LNC013770)". Lineage: Eukaryota; Viridiplantae; Streptophyta; Magnoliopsida; Solanales; Solanaceae. The record is from RNAcentral.